Molecule: ribosomal RNA, 232 nt
Filed under: uncultured bacterium
Lineage: Bacteria
Description: partial 16S ribosomal RNA
Rfam family: Bacterial small subunit ribosomal RNA
Source: RNAcentral
CGGACGGGUGAGUAAUGCUUGGGAAUCUGGCUUAUGGAGGGGGAUAACGACGGGAAACUGUCACUAAUACCGCGUAGAAUCGAGAGAUGAAAGUGCGGGACCGCAAGGCCGCAUGCCAUAGGAUGAGCCCAAGUGGGAUUAGGUAGUUGGUGGGGUAAAGGCCUACCAAGCCGACGAUCUCUAGCUGGUCUGAGAGGAUGACCAGCCACACCGGGACUGAGACACGGCCCGG